Molecule: long non-coding RNA, 1109 nt
Organism: Gopherus flavomarginatus (Mexican gopher tortoise)
Lineage: Eukaryota; Metazoa; Chordata; Testudines; Testudinidae
Exons: 4
Source: RefSeq, a predicted model, not a curated record
CCUUAAAAAGGUUCCUUCUGCAGAGUGACCAAGAUGAAUCUUCCCCUGAUACCUGUGACCAGAUGGGACAUUGUGUUAGUGCUGUCAGCACAGGAGCACUGUCAGAAGCAUUUUGUAAGCCCACAAGAAACAGAGCUACUGUCUCCCUGAAGAAUUCCUUCUCAGAGGCCCGUUCAAUGGCUGAGAUGAAUCCUGGAGCCUGUGACCAAGUGGGCGUGUGUUAAUGUUGUCUGCACAGGAGCACUGUCAGGAGCAUCUUGGAAGCCCGCAAGAAACAGAGGAAUUGUCUCCUUUCACUAAAUGACCUUUGAAACAUCAAAUGUCUUCAUCAUCAUGACACCUACAAGGAGGCAUUGAUGAAACAUGAGCUGGUUACUGCCAUCAACCUUGUCACUGAGCAUCAAGUCAGUGUGCACUGAGAUGAAGGAACAGUCCACACUUCUGAGUUAUUGUUUCACAUUCUGCCAAUGCAGACAGAUAUCACUUUAUCAGUUAUACUUGGUUCCUAUUUUUGAGGCUCUCUCAGCAGCUAUAAGCUAGAGACUUCAUUCUUUUAAAAUGAAAGCUUAGAUUCUGAAGAAUAAAGUGGCAGCAUGAAAGAGGUGUUCAUGCUGUAUCUGUGUGUACCAACUGACUCUGAGCCCUGGCUGGCUCCCACUCCUUUUGUAACAGGGUAGUCUGCCCUUUUAAGAACCAAGAGGCCAGCCAGCCCUAUUAAGGAGAAGAUCCCAACAAGCAAGUGCUGGGCAUCAUCAUAUCCAGCUGGAUGGUAUCCAGUGAUUAGGUCAUAUGAUUGCCAGCUAGGGGAUAUAAAUGAGGGCCCCAGAGCCACCAGGGAGCCUGAGACCAGGAGAGGGCUAGGAGAAUGCUCCCCUGUGACAGCAGCAGACGAUUUCUAGAGGGUGAGUAGAUUCCGUAGAACCUCAUGGAUUGGAGAAGGUCCUAGUCAUUAAGCUGCCAGAAGGCCCCUCAAUCUUAAUGGGAACAGGCCUGUUACUUGCUGCUAUGUGUGUGUGUGAGAGAGAGAGAGAAUAAUCAAGGCUUUGCAGUAAGGGCUACAAACUGAACUGAACAUGGUUGUCUGUCCCAGGCUGGUGAUUGUGUCCACC